GAUGAACGCUGGCGGCGUGCCUAAUACAUGCAAGUCGAGCGAACAGAUAAGGAGCUUGCUCCUUUGACGUUAGCGGCGGACGGGUGAGUAACACGUGGAUAACCUACCUAUAAGACUGGGAUAACUUCGGGAAACCGGAGCUAAUACCGGAUAACAUAUUGAACCGCAUGGUUCAAUAGUGAAAGGCGGCUUUGCUGUCACUUAUAGAUGGAUCCGCGCCGUAUUAGCUAGUUGGUAAGGUAACGGCUUACCAAGGCAACGAUACGUAGCCGACGUGAGAGGGUGAUCGGCCACACUGGAAGUGAGACACGGUCCAGGCUCCUACGGGAGGCAGCAGUAGGGAAUCUUCCGCAAUGGGCGAAAACCUGACGGAGCAACGCCGCGUGAGUGAUGAAGGUCUUCGGAUCGUAAAACUCUGUUAUCAGGGAAGAACAAAUGUGUAAGUAACUGUGCACAUCUUGACGGUACCUGAUCAGAAAGCAACGGCUAACUACGUG
This 497-nucleotide ribosomal RNA is filed under the name uncultured bacterium. RNAcentral's name for it is "partial 16S ribosomal RNA". It matches the Rfam family "Bacterial small subunit ribosomal RNA", at positions 28 to 507 of the family's 1533-position model. The record is from RNAcentral.